This 425-nucleotide ribosomal RNA is filed under the name uncultured bacterium. RNAcentral's name for it is "bacterial SSU rRNA". It matches the Rfam family "Bacterial small subunit ribosomal RNA", at positions 356 to 773 of the family's 1533-position model. The record is from RNAcentral.
AGGGAAUUUUCCACAAUGGACGCAAGUCUGAUGGAGCAACGCCGCGUGAACGAUGAAGGUCUUCGGAUUGUAAAGUUCUGUUGUUAGGGACGAAACCGUACCGUUCGAACAGGGCGGUACCUUGACGGUACCUAAUUAGAAAGCCACGGCUAACUACGUGCCAGCAGCCGCGGUAAUACGUAGGUGGCAAGCGUUGUCCGGAAUUAUUGGGCGUAAAGCGCGCGCAGGCGGCUAUGUAAGUCUGAUGUUAAAGCCCGGGGCUCAACCCCGGUUCGCAUUGGAAACUGUGUAGCUUGAGUGCAGAAGAGGAAAGCGGUAUUCCACGUGUAGCGGUGAAAUGCGUAGAGAUGUGGAGGAACACCAGUGGCGAAGGCGGCUUUCUGGUCUGUAACUGACGCUGAGGCGCGAAAGCGUGGGGAGCAAAC